Molecule: ribosomal RNA, 603 nt
Filed under: uncultured bacterium
Lineage: Bacteria
Description: bacterial SSU rRNA
Rfam family: Bacterial small subunit ribosomal RNA
Source: RNAcentral
CCUACGGGAGGCAGCAGUGGGGAAUCUUGCGCAAUGGGCGAAAGCCUGACGCAGCAACGCCGCGUGCGGGAAGAAGGCUUUCGGGCUGUAAACCGCUUUCAGCAGGAACGAAAAUGACGGUACCUGCAGAAGAAGGAGCGGCCAACUAUGUGCCAGCAGCCGCGGUGAUACAUAGGCUUCAAGCGUUGUCCGGAUUUAUUGGGCGUAAAGAGUUCGUAGGCGGUCGAGUAAGUCGGGUGUGAAAAUUCUGGGCUCAACCCAGAGACGCCACCCGAUACUGCUUGACUUGAGUUCGAUAGGGGAGUGGGGAAUUCCUAGUGUAGCGGUGAAAUGCGCAGAUAUUAGGAGGAACACCGGUGGCGAAGGCGCCACUCUGGAUCGAUACUGACGCUGAGGAACGAAAGCAUGGGUAGCAAACAGGAUUAGAUACCCUGGUAGUCCAUGCCGUAAACGGUGGGCACUAGGUGUGGGUUUCCUAUUAACGAAAUCCGCGCCGUCGCUAACGCAUUAAGUGCCCCGCCUGGGGGUAGGUACGGUCGCGAGACGUAAACUACAAGAAGUAGACGCGNGAGACGUGCCGACGGACGACGACGAGGGAGUAGG